AACAGAUCUGGCUUGUUUUCAGGGCCUAUAGGGCCUGGAUCAAAAGGAAUGUCCAGGUCACCAGGGGGCAUAACAGCAAAGGCCUGCGUUGGCUGUAGCAGUGGAGGAGCUGAUGGUGUAGCAGGUAGACCAGUAAAAGAGCCCGCAGCUCCCUCACUGUCUGGCAAACCACAGGUUUCUGAUUGUGGCCCCACAUGUCUCUUUAAGGCCUUAGAGACUGCUCGCCAGGUGCCGAGCAGUCCCAAUGCUACCUUGCCAUUUUUAGUAGCAGUGUCCCACACCUUGACCUCAAUUUGGUCCCAUCUUUCAGGAUCAUAAACUGUCUGAUUCGUAAUAAAGGGAAUAAGCUGUAAGGUUACCAGGACA
Oxyura jamaicensis (ruddy duck) is the source of this 366-nucleotide long non-coding RNA. RefSeq lists it as uncharacterized. The record is from RefSeq and is a predicted model, not a curated record. The transcript has 4 exons. Lineage: Eukaryota; Metazoa; Chordata; Aves; Anseriformes; Anatidae.